Molecule: unclassified non-coding RNA, 256 nt
Filed under: uncultured bacterium
Lineage: Bacteria
Description: 16S-23S intergenic spacer
Source: RNAcentral
UCUAAGGAGUCGACGAAGUAGGUAACUCUACUUUGAACGGUUUAUUUACACUCUGUUUAAUUUUGAGGGAUUAUAUCUCUCGAGUAACUAUUGUAAAAUCGUAGAUUUUGGAUAGAUACUUAAUGUUCUUUGAAAAUUGCACAGUGAAAGUAGUUAAACAACGCAAUUGUUUAACUAAUAUACAAAGUAAAGCAAAAAGGUAUAAAAGCCUUUGUAACUUUAAUGAAACUCGUUAGUUUACUAAUGAGAAUUAAUU